RNAcentral lists this ribosomal RNA (421 nucleotides) under uncultured euryarchaeote. RNAcentral describes it as "partial 16S ribosomal RNA". It matches the Rfam family "Archaeal small subunit ribosomal RNA", at positions 382 to 803 of the family's 1478-position model. Lineage: Archaea; Methanobacteriati; Methanobacteriota. The record is from RNAcentral.
CGAGUGCCAGGUUACAAAUCUGGCUGUCGUGAUGCCUAAAAAGCAUUGCAUAGAACGGGCCGGGAAAGACCGGUGCCAGCCGCCGCGKWAACACCGGCGGMUCGAGUGGYAACCGUUAUUAUUGGRUCUAAAGGGUCUGUAGCCGGCCGGAUAAGUCUCUUGRGAAAUCUGGCAGCUUAACUGUCAGGCUUUCAGGAGAUACUGUCUGGCUCGAGGCCGRGAGAGGWGAGAGGUACUUCAGGGGUAGGGGUGAAAUCUUGUAAUCCUUGAAGGACCACCAGUGRCGAAGSYGUCUCACCAGAACGGCUCCGACGGCAAGGGACGAAAGCUAGGGGCGCGAACCGGAUUAGAUACCCGGGUAGUCCUAGCCGUAAACGAUACUCGCUAGGUGUCGGCCUCGGUGCGACCGUUGUCGGUGCCG